RNAcentral lists this ribosomal RNA (474 nucleotides) under uncultured bacterium. RNAcentral describes it as "bacterial SSU rRNA". It matches the Rfam family "Bacterial small subunit ribosomal RNA", at positions 335 to 803 of the family's 1533-position model. The record is from RNAcentral.
ACUCCUACGGGAGGCAGCAGUGGGGAAUAUUGCACAAUGGGGGAAACCCUGAUGCAGCCAUGCCGCGUGUGUGAAGAAGGCCUUGGGUUGUAAAGCACUUUCAGUAGGGAGGAAGGUAGUGUAGUUAACACCUGCAUUAUUUGACGUUACCUACAGAAGAAGCACCGGACUAACUCCGUGCCAGCAGCCGCGGUAAGUACGGAGGGUGCGAGCGUUAAUCGGAAUUACUGGGACGUAAAGCGCAUGCAGGCGGCCUGUUAAGUCAGAUGUGAAAGCCCGGGGUCUUAACCUCGGAAUUGCAUUUGAAACUGGCAGGCUAGAGUCUUGUAGAGGGGUAGAAUUUCAGGUGUAGCGGUGAAAUGCGUAGAGAUCUGAAGGAAUACCAGUGGCGAAGGCGGCCCCCUGGACAAAGCUGACGCUCAGAUGCGAAAGCGUGGGAGCAAACGAGGAUUAGAUACCCCUGGUAGCGACUGA